RNAcentral lists this ribosomal RNA (460 nucleotides) under uncultured bacterium. RNAcentral's name for it is "partial 16S ribosomal RNA". It matches the Rfam family "Bacterial small subunit ribosomal RNA", at positions 338 to 795 of the family's 1533-position model. The record is from RNAcentral.
CCUACGGGAGGCAGCAGUGAGGAAUAUUGGUCAAUGGGCGGAAGCCUGAACCAGCCAAGUCGCGUGAGGGAAUAAGGCCCUACGGGUCGUAAACCUCUUUUGCCGGGGAGCAAGGGCGGGGACGUGUCCCGGCCCGGAGAGUACCCGGAGAAAAAGCAUCGGCUAACUCCGUGCCAGCAGCCGCGGUAAUACGGAGGAUGCGAGCGUUAUCCGGAUUUAUUGGGUUUAAAGGGUGCGCAGGCGGCGUGUCAAGUCAGCGGUAAAAUGUCGGGGCUCAACCCCGGCCGGCCGUUGAAACUGGCGUGCUCGAGUUGGAGAGAAGUAUGCGGAAUUCGUGGUGUAGCGGUGAAAUGCAUAGAUAUCACGAAGAACCCCGAUUGCGAAGGCAGCAUACCGGCUCCACACUGACGCUGAGGCACGAAAGCGUGGGUAUCGAACAGGAUUAGAUACCCCUGUAGUC